RNAcentral lists this ribosomal RNA (556 nucleotides) under Patelloida sp. ESU 5. Its description in RNAcentral is "partial 16S ribosomal RNA". It matches the Rfam family "Bacterial large subunit ribosomal RNA", at positions 1816 to 2601 of the family's 2925-position model. The record is from RNAcentral. Lineage: Eukaryota; Metazoa; Mollusca; Gastropoda; Lottiidae.
CGCCUCUUGCCUUUCACAGGAGGUCCCGUCUGCACAAUGACCUGCGGGUUCAAUUGCCGCGGUACCCUGACCGUGCUAAGGUAGCGUAAUCAAUAGCCUAUUAAUUGUUGGCCAGUAUCAAUGGCAUGACGCUGGUAGCGCUGUCUCUGUAGUGUUCUGUUGAAGUUAACCUCUUGGUGAAAAGGCCAAGAUUACCCUAAAAGACGAUAAGACCCUGUCGAACUUUAGGCUAAGUGCUUGUAAGCUGUCUUACUGGUAAUGAACCUUUGGUUGGGGAAACCGGGGACCAAGAAAAGCGUCCUCCCAAAUACCGUUAUGCCAAUCGGGGAACUAUAAAAAAGAGAUUUUUAAGGGAUCUGACAGGAUAGAGGUUGUUUAGAGAUGAUCCGGGGACAAAAUCUCCGACUAUGGGAAAAGUUACCGCAGGGAUAACAGCGUAAUCCUCUCGGAGAGACCAUAUUAAUGAGGGGGUUUGCGACCUCGAUGUUGGCUUGGGGCGUCCCGGAAGUGCAGGAGCUUUCAAUGGUAGGUCUGUUCGACCUUUAAAGCCCUACAU